GACGAACGCUGGCGGCGUGCUUAACACAUGCAAGUCGAACGGAAAGGCCUGCUUUCCCUUGUGGAUUGCGGGUACUCGAGUGGCGAACGGGUGAGUAACACGUGAGUGAUCUGCCCCCAACUUGGGUAUAAGCCUGGGAAACUGGGUCUAAUUCCCGAUAGGACUGCAGGGUGGCGCCUGUGGUGGAAAACGAUCUUCUAGUGGUUGGGGAUGAGCUCGCGGCCUAUCAGCUUGUUGGUGGGGUAAUGGCCUACCAAGGCGGCGACGGGUAGCCGGCCUGAGAGGGUGGACGGCCACAUUGGGACUGAGAUACGGCCCAGACUCCUACGGGAGGCAGCAGUGGGGAAUAUUGCACAAUGGGCGGAAGCCUGAUGCAGCGACGCCGCGUGGGGGAUGACGGCCUUCGGGUUGUAAACUCCUUUCGACCGCGAGGAAGCCACCUGGUUGGAAGGGUGGUGACGGUAGUGGUAGAAGAAGCACCGGCUAACUACGUG
This 494-nucleotide ribosomal RNA is filed under the name uncultured bacterium. Its description in RNAcentral is "partial 16S ribosomal RNA". It matches the Rfam family "Bacterial small subunit ribosomal RNA", at positions 28 to 507 of the family's 1533-position model. The record is from RNAcentral.